GACGAACCGUACGAACGUUAUUCGGAAUCAUUGGGCUUAAAGGGUGCGUAGGCGGUGCAGAAAGUUGGGUGUGAAAUCCCUCGGCUCAACCGAGGAAUUGCGCCCAAUACUACUGUGCUAGAGGGAGACAGAGGUAAGCGGAACUUAGGGUGGAGCGGUGAAAUGCGUUGAUAUCCUAAGGAACACCAGUGGCGAAAGCGGCUUACUGGGUCUCUUCUGACGCUGAGGCACGAAAGCUAGGGGAGCAAACGGG
This 253-nucleotide ribosomal RNA is filed under the name uncultured bacterium. Its description in RNAcentral is "partial 16S ribosomal RNA". It matches the Rfam family "Bacterial small subunit ribosomal RNA", at positions 524 to 776 of the family's 1533-position model. The record is from RNAcentral.